RNAcentral lists this unclassified non-coding RNA (1077 nucleotides) under Hevea brasiliensis (rubber tree). Lineage: Eukaryota; Viridiplantae; Streptophyta; Magnoliopsida; Malpighiales; Euphorbiaceae. The record is from RNAcentral.
AUGUUACACAAAUAGCAAAAUAUUUAGAAGAAACAAGAAACCAUUGAAUACAAAGCAAAAUCAUCCAAUAGACUUGGAUAGGAGUGAAACCCUAUAAUACGAGUGAUUUGUGAUAAGAUUAUCAAGAUAGCAUCUCAUUUUGUUGUUGCAAUCCUCAUCUCAUGUAACUAAUGGGCUAAUGUUUAUCAGAGCCUUGCAACUCUUUACAAUGGCCACUUCUCAAAGUUUAAUCCACGCCAACUAAAACUCACUAGAGAGCUACAAAAUACAAAAUGGAGCAUCCUUGUUUGUGCUAACAACAUAGCAAUAACAGGACUAAAAUUCCAGAAUACCAAUCAACUCUCAAGACAGCAAAAGAAAGCAACAGGAAGCAAGCAGAGAUCAAAACUCUGAUUCAUGUGGGCAAUUUCUAAGAAUUGAUUGAAUCCCCAAGAUUACAAAGCCAGCCAUAAGACCCCACUUUAACAUCAAAGUUUAAAUCUCAGCAGAAUAAAAGAGCAAAGUGUGGAAAUCAACAGUGUUCACCCAACCUUGUAUAUAUGUCUCUGAGUUUUACUCUUCACUUGCAGUUUAAUGCAUUCAGCUUCCAUUAAACAGGCAUUAUUUCUUUGGAGCCACAAGGAACAUGACAUUGCAAAAAAGGACAGCUAAAAUUCUUCUUGCAUUUUCCACUAACUAGAGCCAUCCAUUAAAGAAAUAUUGAUGCAAAAUCCUUCGGGAAGCGAAAAACAAUACCCCACCAUUGAAGGAAAAGUUUCAGAUGAUCCUGCUAAAUUGAAAGAGAAACUGUUGGGUGGAUUGAAACGGAUCACUACAAGGUGAUUGAAACCAUAAGCAGAAAAGGAGAAGGUUAUAAUAAAAGGAGAGGAAUCAACGGCUGGAGUGUUGCAAAAGGUCAUUAAUCCAUAAAGUAUCUUGCUACGGGUUCAUCUGAAUGAGAAAAAGACAUACCCAACUGCUUUCCCAUGUUGACAGCUUGCCAAGCUUCAUCUGCUAUGUCUAAGGAAUAUUCAUUGGAAUAUUUUUCUCUUGGGGCGAGAAUUCAUGCGAUGGAUGUCACUAUUUGCUGGCUUCACA